AUUGAACGCUGGCGGAAUGCUUAACACAUGCAAGUCGAGCGGGGUGUAGCAAUACACCUAGCGGCGGACGGGUGAGGAAUACAUAGGAAUCUGCCUCAGAGCGGGGGACAGCCCGGGGAAACCCGGAUUAAUACCGCAUGAUGUCGCAAGACCAAAGUGGGGGACCGCAAGGCCCCACACUCUGAGAUGAGCCUAUGUCCGAUUAGCUAGUUGGCGGGGUAAUAGCCCACCAAGGCGACGAUCGGUAGCUGGUCUGAGAGGACGAUCAGCCACACCGGAACUGAGACACGGUCCGGACUCCUACGGGAGGCAGCAGUGGGGAAUAUUGGACAAUGGGCGCAAGCCUGAUCCAGCAAUUCCGCGUGGGUGAAGAAGGCC
This 378-nucleotide ribosomal RNA is filed under the name uncultured bacterium. Its description in RNAcentral is "bacterial SSU rRNA". It matches the Rfam family "Bacterial small subunit ribosomal RNA", at positions 29 to 416 of the family's 1533-position model. The record is from RNAcentral.